GUAAAACUCUCUAGACCCUGCCAAAACAGGGAACUCUUGAAUUCAUAUUUUCCCCAUUACAAGGACUCAACAUCUUGUGACCCACUCCUUCUUCCUGGGGACAUUUUACAGAAAGGGCUCUCAGCCUCCUCACCACCUAGCCAUGCUCUCUGUGACCAUUCUACUGCUUGGAGUGCUCUUCACACUGAAAGGAAGCGGAGCCCAGUCGGUCACCCAGAUUGACAGCCAUGUUGCUGUCUCUGAAGGAGCCCCCCUGGAGCUGAGAUGCAACUAUUCCUACCGUGCAACACUUUAUCCCUACUGGUAUGUACUAUACCCCAACCAGGGCCUCCAGCUUCUCCUCAAAUACUUGGUAAGGGACCCAUUGGUUAAAGGCAUCAAAGGCUUCGAGGCUGAGUUUCGGAAGAGUGAAAACUCCUUCCACCUGAAGAAAGCCUCAGCCCAUUGGAGCGACACAGCUGUGUACUUCUGUGCUGUCAGUGGCACAGUGCCUGGGCUGCAGGAAAAGCUGAGCACAAACCUCCUGAAACAUAGAGUGUCUGUGACUCAAGGGCUCAGCCUGACCUGUUUUCAGUAA
Molecule: non-coding RNA, 577 nt
Organism: Castor canadensis (American beaver)
Lineage: Eukaryota; Metazoa; Chordata; Mammalia; Rodentia; Castoridae
Source: the annotation of a RefSeq genome assembly